CAUUCUGUUGCUACAACCCAUCUGGGGGAUCGCUCGGCUCGAGUACCGAAGAAGGUCGUGACAAGCUGCGAUAAGCUGCGG
This 81-nucleotide ribosomal RNA is filed under the name Candidatus Poseidoniaceae archaeon. RNAcentral describes it as "partial 23S ribosomal RNA". It matches the Rfam family "Archaeal large subunit ribosomal RNA", at positions 1 to 81 of the family's 2987-position model. RNAcentral also lists the same sequence under 1 other name. The record is from RNAcentral. Lineage: Archaea; Methanobacteriati; Thermoplasmatota; Candidatus Poseidoniia; Candidatus Poseidoniales; Candidatus Poseidoniaceae.